AACGAACGCUGGCGGCAUGCCUAACACAUGCAAGUCGAACGAGACCUUCGGGUCUAGUGGCGCACGGGUGCGUAACGCGUGGGAAUCUGCCCUUGGGUUCGGAAUAACAGUUGGAAACGACUGCUAAUACCGGAUGAUGACGUAAGUCCAAAGAUUUAUCGCGCAAGGAUGAGCCUGCGUAGGAUCAGCUAGUUGGUGAGGUAAAGGCUCCCCAAGGCGACGAUCCUUAGCUGGUCAGAGAGGAUGAUCACCCACACUGGGAGUGAGACACGGCCCGGAAUACUGCGGGAGGCAGCAAUGGGGGAUAUUGGAAAGUGGGGGAUAGGCUGAUGGAGUAAUGCUGGGAGAGCGAUGAAGGCCGGAGGGAUGUAAAGCAAUUUUAUCCGGGAUGAUAAUGACGGUACCAGGAGAAUAAGCACCGGCUAACUUCGUG
RNAcentral lists this ribosomal RNA (433 nucleotides) under uncultured bacterium. Its description in RNAcentral is "partial 16S ribosomal RNA". It matches the Rfam family "Bacterial small subunit ribosomal RNA", at positions 29 to 507 of the family's 1533-position model. The record is from RNAcentral.